AUGACCGAAAAAACCCCAAGGGCGUUGAGUCAGCGUGCCGGGACACCGCGUGCAUGGCUGGAAGUGCCGGGGCUGGCCUGUCCCCAACGGGUUUUGGGAAGGGGCCGCGGCGCUGCGCUCCCCGUGCUGGCUGACCCCGCUCCGGGUGUGCCAAGGCCGGGUGGGGACAGUGGGGACGGUGACUGGGAGGGGUCCCCAGCUGCGGAGGGGCUCCGAGGUCUGGCACCAGCUCCUCCGGCCUUUCAGACCCACAAAGAUGGGCAAAAUACCCCAUUUUCACAACCUUGCUGCUUCUGCCCCAAACCCCACGCUCCUGCCCUGCACCCCAAGCUUUCAUUUCCCCCACGCACCAACCCCUUCCUAAACCACCUCAACCCAAAACUUAUCCCCCCUGCUGGCCCCCCGCCUGCCCCCAGCUGCUCGUGGGACCCCCCCUGGGCACAUCCCAGUGUUGGAUCCCUCCUGUCCCAGUGCCACCAGCAGCAGCCACCAGUGCCACCAGCGUGGCCCUGGCCGGGAGCUGCCUGCAGCGCUGCCGUUCCCGGCACGGACAGCAGAGGCCAGGCCACGGCCGCUGCAGGAGCUGCAGCAGGGGAUGCUCGGCCUCUGCCACUGCUCAGCACCCUCGUGGCACCCACGUCCACCCCACCCGUGUCCCCUGGGUGCCCGGCGUGGUGGCACCGCUGUCCGCUGCGCAAUGGGUGGGCACCGUCACCUGCCCGUGCCCGGGGGCUGCUCCUGCUCUGCCCCCUUUGGGACCUCAGGGAUGCUCCUGGCCCCCUCCAGCCCUGGGCAGCUUGGGACCCCCUGCUCCUGCACCCAGGGGUGCUGGGACCCCCCCCUGGGUCCUGCCCCAGCUGCAUCCCCCCCAGCCCAUGGGCCUGGGGAAAUCCUCCUGGUGCCCCCUCCCUGCGCUCUUUCCUCCCUCCCUCGCUCCUCGGCCAGCCUGCGGUGGGGAAGCACUCAGAAAUAAAACAAUCCCUAACGAAAUUAAGGGUUGGCAAUCAAAGACGGGCUGCCCGGAGUUCCCCUGCUGCAUUUCCCCCCCCCCCUCUUUUAUUGCUCUCCUUAAGGAAAAAAAACCCUGGCAUAGCUCUGGGGUGGUGCAGCCGGGAGGACAGGGCAGGGGCUGGGGGCUGCCCGCUCCCCUCGCCACCUCUCCCAGCCCUGGGGAUUCUCCUCCCCCUGUGA
This 1191-nucleotide long non-coding RNA is filed under the name Anas platyrhynchos platyrhynchos (common mallard). RNAcentral describes it as "lncRNA (ENSAPLG00000027415.1)". Lineage: Eukaryota; Metazoa; Chordata; Aves; Anseriformes; Anatidae. The record is from RNAcentral.